CCCUGACUCAGAAGCCUGAUGUCUACAUCCCCGAGACCCUGGAGCCCGGGCAGCCGGUGACGGUCAUCUGUGUGUUUAACUGGGCUUUCAAGAAAUGUCCAGCCCCUUCUUUCUCCUGGACGGGGGCUGCCCUCUCCCCUAGAAGAACCAGACCAAGCACCUCCCACUUCUCAGUGCUCAGCUUCACGCCCAGCCCCCAGGACCACGACACCGACCUCACCUGCCAUGUGGACUUCUCCAGAAAGGGUGUGAGCGCACAGAGGACCGUCCGACUCCGUGUGGCCUCCCUGGAACUCCAGGGAAACGUCAUAUAUCUGGAAGUUCAGAAAGGCCAGUUCCUGCGGCUCCUCUGUGCUGCUGACAGCCAGCCCCCUGCCACGCUGAGCUGGGUCCUGCAGGACAGAGUCCUCUCCUCGUCCCACCCCUGGGGCCCCAGAACCCUGGGGCUGGAGCUGC
RNAcentral lists this long non-coding RNA (456 nucleotides) under Homo sapiens (human). RNAcentral describes it as "HSALNT0261427". Lineage: Eukaryota; Metazoa; Chordata; Mammalia; Primates; Hominidae. The record is from RNAcentral.